GUGCUGCAGGAUUUAUGCAGAAACUGUAUUUUCAGUCACUUUGGAUCUUUGUUUGACUAUGCAUUUGGACUCCGUUUAACUUGAAAUUUUGCCAAAUUUUAGCUUUGCUUGUCUACUUUAAUUCUGGAGAUUUUCACUUGAAAAUAUUGAACGAUCAAUUGUUGGUGAAUUUUUCUUUCUUACUGCCUGUUCCUGAAAAGUUUUUCAGAUUUGCAACAUAUCGUUACAAAACAAUGGAUUUGGGAUCCUUUACUCUCUUCUUUCUAUCACUGAUCUUUAACAAGUUUAUUUAAGUAUAAAUUUUAUGCUUUCAACUUAACUUUAAGUUCUGGAGAGGCAAGAUAGGUUACGUUCUUAACAAGUAUUAUCUUUGUGUGUUCUUAUCAAUGUUUCUUUUUGGAAUAAGCCCACACAUGGUAGCUCUACUCACUGCUCAGUUUUAAGAGAAAAGUUAGGCUAGGACUGAUAGUAAAUUUCUACUUUUCAUAUAGGAUUGAAGGCUCAAGUGGAGUAAGUGAAGUGAGUGAUCAAGAGGUACUUGCUGGGAGUUGUACAUAAGAGAUUCCAGGUACGGGGUCUUCACUAGUUAGUAAUUUUUGAAAAUGCUUUUCAUAUUUUUACGCAUCAUAUUGCAUUGAAAUUUUAUGUGAUGACUUGAGAGUGAAGGGAGCAAAAUGACUACCUUGGGUUUCGAUCUCCUAAACCUCCGGAGGGGCUAUACGGACUGGAGGACGUCUAACAUUCUUUGAGGUGUGGCGUCACUCCUACAUGGUAUGGCGUAAACGGCCACUCUUGCUACUUCUUGCUUGUGGUUUAAUUAAUUAUUUCAGCAAUGUUUAUUUCAGCAAGUAGUUGGCAUUAAGACCGGUCAUCAGUAUUUAGAAAAUGGGUACCCUUAGCAUGUGUUUCACUGAAAUUUCUCAUAACAAAUCUCUAUUGAUGCUUCUGAUGGUUUUUAGUUUUAUUAAAACUAAAAUCCCAUAGUUUUCAAACCUAGCUAGCGUUACUUCCUACUGAGCAUAUGAACGUGAGUGAUGCUCACCCCUACUUUUUCAAGUACUGUGCACGAGACUGAAUAGAAGUGGAACUAAAGUAGUGGCCUUGGCAUUUUGCAGCUUGUCAACUCCUUCUUUUGAGGUCUAGUUCCUGUUAUGGUGUUCUGAGGUCUUUUGCUAUAUAUAUAGUCUACUUGUCUUUAUAAUUUAGCUUUUGGAAACUAACAUCAGUUGGUUGUAUAUAUGACAUCAAAGGCUCAUUUUUGGUGUUUGGUACCUACAUUAGUCUUGACUAAUAUGGUACCAUCAGUACAGAUGUAUAUUAUAACUAUGUUUAUCUAAAUUUCCAUGUGACCAGCCUUAGCUUUAUACUAAGUUAUAAUCUUGUGUUGUAAUCAAGUUGUCCACUCUUUUGCUUCUGAGU
This 1419-nucleotide long non-coding RNA is filed under the name Fragaria vesca (wild strawberry). Its description in RNAcentral is "long non-coding RNA (FVES_LNC003047)". Lineage: Eukaryota; Viridiplantae; Streptophyta; Magnoliopsida; Rosales; Rosaceae. The record is from RNAcentral.